AUUGAACGCUGGCGGCAGGCCUAACACAUGCAAGUCGAGCGGAUGAAGGGAGCUUGCUCCUGGAUUCAGCGGCGGACGGGUGAGUAAUGCCUAGGAAUCUGCCUGGUAGUGGGGGAUAACGUCCGGAAACGGGCGCUAAUACCGCAUACGUCCUGAGGGAGAAAGUGGGGGAUCUUCGGACCUCACGCUAUCAGAUGAGCCUAGGUCGGAUUAGCUAGUUGGUGGGGUAAAGGCCUACCAAGGCGACGAUCCGUAACUGGUCUGAGGGGAUGAUCAGUCACACUGGAACUGAGACACGGUCCAGACUCCUACGGGAGGCAGCAGUGGGGAAUAUUGGACAAAGGGCGAAAGCCUGAUCCAGCCAUGCCGCGUGUGUGAAGAAGGUCUUCGGAUUGUAAAGCACUUUAAGUUGGGAGGAAGGGCAGUAAGUUAAUACCUUGCUGUUUUGACGUUACCAACAGAAUAAGCACCGGCUAACUUCGUG
Molecule: ribosomal RNA, 484 nt
Filed under: uncultured bacterium
Lineage: Bacteria
Description: partial 16S ribosomal RNA
Rfam family: Bacterial small subunit ribosomal RNA
Source: RNAcentral